AAGGCCUUAGCUUAAUUAAAGUGUUUGAGUUGCAUUCAUUAGAUAUGGGGGAAGGUCCUGUAGGUCUUA
RNAcentral lists this transfer RNA (69 nucleotides) under Carettochelys insculpta (pitted-shelled turtle). Its description in RNAcentral is "tRNA-Ala". Lineage: Eukaryota; Metazoa; Chordata; Testudines; Carettochelyidae. The record is from RNAcentral.